Molecule: long non-coding RNA, 2908 nt
Filed under: Triticum aestivum (bread wheat)
Lineage: Eukaryota; Viridiplantae; Streptophyta; Magnoliopsida; Poales; Poaceae
Description: long non-coding RNA (TAES_LNC000731)
Source: RNAcentral
UAGGUCCUAGCUGUCAGGGCCAUAUUCUUCAAUUUUUUAAUUUAACAUAAAUAAAUACCUAGUGUUUAAAUUGGCACACAGAAAACACAGGAAAUACUUCAAAUAUUAUCAACCAUCAAAGUGCUACAUCAUAUAACACACAUACAAAUGUGAUCAGCAUCAAGAUUACAAUCAGAUAACAAGCUCUACAAGUAUACAAUCAGAUAACAAGCUCUACAAGUAUACAAUCACAUGAGCCAAGUUCUGCUACAUCAAAUUACUCUCAGAAUUAGCUCCAAUGAGCUAGAACUAUGCUUCCUCCGACUUCUUUGUCCUGAUAUUCGCAAAGAAACAUGAAAGGCCAGCAUCUGCACGUUAUAGAACAAAAUGUUUAGGAACAAAAUAAAAGUAAAUCUAACAGCAUAUUUAACACUAAAUAACAAAAUAAUGCAAUAAAUUGGUACAGAGCAUAGGCCAGGUCAACAAUAAAUUCGUACUAAAUCCAGAAAUAACCAUCUGAAAUGAACUUAAUAAGACAUUUUAGAAUCAACUUGACAAUUGACAGUAAUGUUUGCAUUGGACACAUCCAGAACUAAAAAUAUACAUAAAUGCCUAAAUUCCAAUGCCCAAUGCCUAAGUAAAAUAAACACUAAGCAUGGUACAUAGUAAAGAUUUGACACAACCAGAACUGAAAUCAUUUACUCUAUCAAGCAUAUCUACAAUGAUGCGGCACACAAGAAAAGAGAGAUGCACAACGGAGCAGCAUCAUAUAUCACACAACAUGGACACUCUUUGAACAAGCAUAGUGUUUCGGUCUAAAACCACAGUCAAUUUCAGAAGCAUGUCGAAUAACUAAACAUACAUACAUGUGUAUAUAGAAGCAGCAAAAGCAAAUAAUAAAUAUAUCAUCUUUCUUCCUCUACUACACUAACUAACCUAUCUUAUUGUUCAGCUAGAGGUUCCAUGUAUGAGCCAUGAUCAACUACUCCAAACCAUUGCAUGCUUUGCAAAAAAAAUACUAGAUGAAUCUCACUAACAGGAGCACUAGGUGAUUAAUGGAAGAAGUAAUCUGCAGAUUACAAAGUGAACAAGUGAAGGAUUUAUAUCUCUCCCUGUGGAACAACUAAGUUGAUGAAGACAUGCAGCAACAACAGCAAAAGCAUUGCAUCAUUGAUUUGGUCGCGUCGACUCUGGAAAGAGCGCAGCUGUACAUGAUCAGCACCCGAGUGGCUCAACCUCUCUAUCCCCUGCCUCAACUCACCUGUGCGGUUGCUGCAGUUUGAUACAAGUGUGUAAAUACAACAUACUUUGCAUCAUAUAUCUAGACUAUAACAUCUUAUUCUCACCAGCAGAGCAUGAAAGUUCCAUCAGGUUGCAUCAAAAUCACUACUGAAAAUAAAAAGAUGGCAUGUAGUAAUAGUAACAGGCUGUUGUAGUAAUAUAUAUUCAUGGUAGGUCAAUGGCAGAGCAUGAAAGUUCCAUCAGGUUGCAUGUAUAUCAGAGAACUAUUACUACAUGCAAAGGUUCAGUGCAUCCAAAUAAACAUGCACAUCAGGAAACUAGAGGAACAGACAGUCAACACGUAUAUAUCUAGUCAAUAAAAUAUGCAUGCAAAGUUGUACUGAUGUAGACAUGCCUUCACAUCAGAAUUCAGAAACAUCAGAGUCUCGCUGCAUCUCAAAAUCAAGCCGAUCUAACAUGUAGGCACUGAUUAACAGAUCCAAUAAUACUAUUGCAAUUGUAAUCAUAUAGCAGAACAGAGUAGAGGAGGCUCGAUAGUUCAACAUUUCCAGUGCAAGCAUUGUACAAAGUAAACCAAAUUGAAACCCAGUAAGACACUAUUACAAUACAGUAUGACGACGUCUAUUGCCCAUCUGGAAAACAAGGUGACAUACUACAGGUUCAAAAUUUUCCUACCACUCAUGAUAUGUUUGUACAAUGAUUGGUGUAUGAGGAGCUCGGCACUGUAUGAUGUAUAACAGAUGUUGUAUAAUAGAGAAGAACGGCAAAAAGAUUUGGUGGCAUUGAGCUGUUGACAGAAGUAUGCAAAAAAGCUACUCAGUUGCUAGCAAGAUGAAUCAACGACAACUGUGAAGGUUGGAGUCUAGAAAGGUAUUCCCUGUUGGAAAUCGACUACGACAGCAGUUAAGCUAUGCAUCAUUCUUGGCGGUCGAUCUCAUCCCUGUCAUUUUUAGCAAUCACUGCACGUGGAAGAAGUAAAGCAUGUCAGUUGUAUUAUUUUCAAACACACAAAAAUGAAGGAGCAAAAGGCAGCCAAAAUAUAACUGCAGGGCCCUCUUAACAAAUAAUGUUUGUGCUCAAUCUGUUAGUACAAACACUACUAUAUCUGCCAAAUGCACAGGCCAAUUUAUAUGCCUAUUUAUAUGCCUAAAAAAACUAAGAUUUUCUAGCAAGAAAGGUGGCAGCACAGUUGACCUUGAAGGCAGUAAGAAAUUUCAUCAUCUUAUCAUUGGUCUGAGAAUUAAUAGGGAGCAACUAGAGUAGAAUUUGGGCUUGUGGUAGAAGAAUAGAAAAAUUGAUACUGGGCCAUCGGAUCAAACAUGGUUGGUACAGAUUCAUGUGAGGGAUCCCAGGCCACUUAUUGUACAUUUCAUGAAAACAUACCUAGUACAGUUAGAUAUAAAACAAGAGCUUUUGCAGUAACCACAUCAAAGUUUACUCAGCUUGGAUACAAAUAGCAAACUGAUUCACAAAAGCAUUACUCCACAACCUUCGUUGUCCCACAUAUAUUGUCCCCACGGUUUACUCAUGUUUCCCUGCUCAAGUUAACAAAGAAAUCUAAAACCAUGUAGCACUAAAUUAAAUCGCAAUACAACUCUAACAAGGCAAAAUCUCCCCCUACCAGGUUGGAUUGUUGGGAUUCAAAUUGCACAUGUUUUAGAGAGAUAGUACUAGCAAGCAUAGUUCU